UACGGAGGGUGCUAGCGUUGUCCGGAAUCAUUGGGCGUAAAGCGCGCGUAGGCGGUCCGGUAAGUCCGCUGUGAAAGUCGGGGGCUCAACUCUCGGAUGCCGGUGGAUACUGUCGGGCUUGAGUACGGAAGAGGCGAGUGGAAUUCCUGGUGUAGCGGUGAAAUGCGCAGAUAUCAGGAGGAACACCAAUUGCGAAGGCAGCUCGCUGGGACGUUACUGACGCUGAGGCGCGAAAGCGUGGGGAGCAAACAGG
Molecule: ribosomal RNA, 253 nt
Filed under: uncultured bacterium
Lineage: Bacteria
Description: partial 16S ribosomal RNA
Rfam family: Bacterial small subunit ribosomal RNA
Source: RNAcentral